Long non-coding RNA from Bos taurus (domestic cattle), 3596 nucleotides. Lineage: Eukaryota; Metazoa; Chordata; Mammalia; Artiodactyla; Bovidae. The record is from Ensembl.
CUAGGUUGCAAACAUGAUACCUAAACUUGUAACAAAGAGUGUGGAGAGCCAAACAAAACGAUCACUUCUUUGAUGAUGACUGCAGCCAAGAAAUUAAAAGAUGCUUGCUCCUUGGAAGAACAGAUAUGACCAACCUAGACAGCAUAUUCAAAGGCAGAGACAUUACUUUACCGACAAAGGUCUGUCUAGUCAAAGCUAUGGUUUUCCAGUAGUCAUGUAUGGAUGUGAGAGUUGGACCAUAAAGAAGGCUGAAAGCUGAAGAAUUGAUGCUUUUGAACUGUGGUGUUGGAGAAGACUCUUGAGAGUCCUUGGACUGCAAGGAAAUCAAACCAGUCAAUCCUAAAGGAAAUCAGUCCUGAAUAUUCAUUGGAAGGACUGAUGCUGAAACUGAAGCUCCAAUACUUUGGCCACCUGAUGCAAAGAACUGACUCAUUGGAAAAGACCCUGAUGCUGGGCAAGAUUGAAGGCAGGAGGAGAAGGGGAUGACAGAGGUUUACAUGGUUGGAUGGCAUCACUGGCUCGAUGGACAUGAGUUUGAGCAAGUUCCGGGAGUUGAUGAAGGACAGGGAAGCCUGGCAUGCUGCAGUCCGUGGGGUUGCAAGGAGUUGGACAUGACUGAGCAAAACUGAACUGAAUUGAUACAUGAGUUCAAAGCUCUGUUCUGCCACUGAAUUGGCUCCAUAAACUUGUGCAAGUCACUUAUAUUUUUAAACUUCAGUUUCUUCAGCUAUAAAAUAGAAAUAAUAUUAAUGUCAACUUCAUGGGAUAGUUGUGAUGACUGCAUGAAAUGAUGGAAAAAUGCCAAGCACAUGGUGAGUGUGUAGUAGGUAAGAGAGUUUCCUGUUUCCCUCUCUUCCUUCAACAUUAAGAGGCUACAAUCCUCCCAGAUCUGAGUUUUCUGGGCAGAGUGCUCUAAUGUCAAACACACUGGACAACAGAAAAGCGAAGCUGAGUCCCACCCACCAUCUAAGAAUGACUCAUAGGCUAGCUCAGGUUUCCAGAUGUGUAUCCUUACUAUUCUCUGGUCCUUAUCUAUAUUUUACCUGGUGCCAAUGUCACCGUUUUCACCAUUUUCCUUUGGAGCAAAUCCCAAUGACUGGAAUUAUUAAUGACUCUGCCAAUUUGACAUGGUUUAGUGGUAGAGCAUGUCAGAUGUGUAGAGUCCAUCCUAUUGAUGGUCCAUCCUCUCUUGCAUGGACCAUUUUCCUUGCAAUUGCAAAAGUCAGCAAUCCCAUCCUGAGCCUUGUCAGCCCUUGUCAAAGCAGUGGCCAGGGUACAUCAGCAGGUGGACAGGGAGCAGCACUGGAAUAUUCUCUUCUGGGUUUGACUUCUGCAGAUAAGUCCUGGAGCUGCCAUGGAUGCCAGGCCUACCUUCUCUGCUGCCUAAAAAUCUUCAGUUCAUUAACUUGUAGUUACCUAUUUUCAUGGCUCAACUGCAGUUAAAGGCAGAAAUUGCCCAAAUCGGCUGACUUAGUUUGCUUCUAGGUAAUUGUAUCAUGAGCCAAUUACUUAAACUGUACUACAUUUUCACUUACAUUCUGACAUCUCAUACUUUUUAAACCUAAAUUAACUCCUUACAUAAAGGACUAUUGGGAAUUUUAUCUAAAUGGUUUCUGGAAUGUAAAUUUAUGAAAAAAAUCACAUGGACAGAAGAAGUGAAAUUCUGAUUAUGAUAGUUUUGUGUUAGUCCAGGGAGGGCUGCAUAUGUCAGUGAAUAAAAAUAAUAAGGAACAGCAACAAUAACCAUAACUACUAGUCAUUGAGUGCAUGUUUUGUAUACCACAUGGUUGAAAUAAAGCUGUAUUAAACUUAUUGCCAGGCAAAGUACCCAAAAGCUUUUCCCAUGUGCUCUAUCAAUAGUUUGAAGAUGGAUUUCAAAAAGUUCUGAUAAUUGUACUCUUAGGCUAGCCUAGAUCAGUCAACAGGAAUAGGAACAUUAGGAACAUAUGGCAACAAGACAAUUAAAUCUAAGUAUUAAGAAGCCCAGUUGUGUCUCACUCUUUGCAACCCCAUGGACUGUACAGUCCAUGGAAUUCUACAGGCUAGAAUACUGGAGUGGGUAGCCUUUCCCUUCUCCAGGGGAUCUUCAAAACCCAGGGAUAGAAUCCAGGUCUCUCACAUUGCUGGCUGAUUCUUUACCAGUUGAACCACAAGGGAAGCCCAUGAAUACUGUAAUGGGUAGCUUUUCCCUUCUCCAGUGGAUCUUCCUGACCCAGGAAUCAAACCGAGGUCUCCUGCAUUGCAGGUGGAUUCUUUACCAACUGAGCUUUCAGGGAAGCCUGACUUUCACAUUAAGAGGCCCAGGCUUACCAGGUGGCUCAGUGGUAAGGAAUUCUCCUGCCAAUGCAGGAGAUGUAAGAGAUGCAGGUUUGAGCCCUGGGUUGGGAAGAUUGCCUAGAGUAAGAAAUGGCAACCCACUUCAGUAUUCUUGUCUGGAAAAUUCUACACUUAGAGGAGCCUAGUGGGCUACAGUCCAUGGGGUCACAAAGAGUUGGACACAACUGGGCAUGUACACAUUCAGCAGCCCAAUGAAAGUUUUGUAGGUUAAUGAAAGUUUUAACAAAGUUUUGAUUUUUAGCACAAAUAAUGACCUUUUAUAUCCAUUCCAGCUAAUCAUUCCCUACUCCAGAAUUCUUCAUUAUCAACAACUGCAAUCCUCUUUAAUUUCAACCUCAACCAUCCCAUGCUUUAACUGAAAUUCCCACUCUUUCCCUUUAGUACCCAAGUAAACCAUGCUUCAGUGUCAUUGCCCUGAAGCUUAUUGAUUCUAUGAAAUUUUCACUAUUCUCAUUUGUCUCUACCUUCCUUGUGUAGCUUAAAUUCCAUGAUCUAUCACUACGAUGAGUCCUUUUUCACACAGUCUCAGAUCACUUACCACCCUCUUACUUCAUCAUACUUGCUUGGCAAACCACAGUCUUGGUUCUGUCUAACCCUCUGGUCCCUCUUCACCAGAAUCUAUGCAGCUAAGUGUGGCUGGGAAAAGACACAAGCCACACUGACUUUCCUUCCUCAAAGUCAUUGCCACCAGCUCAAGUGGGUCCUUAAUGCUUCCUAACAACCACAUUUUAUUUCCCUUUUCCAUUCCCCCUUCUGGUCUCCCAAACAAUGGUCUUAACACUCUCCUUUCUCCUUGCACCAUUACACUAAAAUUGCUUCACUGAAGUCUCAAACAACCAAAAGAUGCUAUCUCAAGGUCAAAGAUUAUAUCUCAGCUUAAUCCUAUUUGAUUUACCAAAAAUAUUUGACAUAAGUUCUAAAACUUGGGCUUUUAGAAUAGCUUUGACCCUUAUAGCUAUUCCUUCUCAGUUUCUUUUGCUGUUUCUUCAUCUAAAUGUUGGAGUGUUAGUAUACUGUAUUUAUGUUUUUCCUUCUGGCUUACUUCACUCUGUAUAAUAGGCUCCAGUUUCAUCCACCUCAUUAGAACUGAUUCAAAUGUAUUCUUUUUAAUGGCUGAGUAAUACUCCAUUGUGUAUAUGGAAUUUAGAAAGAUGGUAACAAUAACCCGGUGUACGAGACAGCAAAAGAGACACUGAUGUAUAGAACAGUCUUAUGGACUCUGUGGGAGAGGGAGAGGGUGGGAAGAUUGGGGAGAAUGG